This is an unclassified non-coding RNA of Cavia aperea (Brazilian guinea pig), 349 nucleotides long. Its record names the gene 7SK. It matches the Rfam family "7SK RNA". Rfam says of the family: 7SK was discovered as an abundant small nuclear RNA in the mid-70s but a possible function has only recently been suggested. Two independent studies have found that 7SK RNA binds the CDK9/cyclin T complex (known as elongation factor P-TEFb). The record is from Ensembl. NCBI's taxonomy places the organism in Eukaryota, Metazoa, Chordata, Mammalia, Rodentia, Caviidae.
GGAUGUGAAGGCAAUCUGGCUGUAACUUCUGUCACCCAGUUGAUCUCUAGGCCUAUCUGGCUGGCUAGGCGGGUCCCUUCCUUCUGCACUGCUCUAUGUACGUCCCUCGUGAAGCAAUGUGCUUGGUCAAAGAGGACAAGAGAAUAAUUUUCCAAGACAGAGGUGGACUAUUUCUUUGGUCAGGGCCGUAGAAGUAGCUGUACUCCUUUGCUAGAACCUCCAAACAAGCAAGCUCACUGAAGUUUAUUGCUAGUACUGUGAUGAUACGGGAAGGGAGCGUGGAAGGGAUCCUGAGCGGAAUCCCCACCAUAGAUAGGCACAUUGAGGACCUUAGGCAACCGCGAUACUA